Eriocheir sinensis (Chinese mitten crab) is the source of this 259-nucleotide long non-coding RNA. RefSeq lists it as uncharacterized. Lineage: Eukaryota; Metazoa; Arthropoda; Malacostraca; Decapoda; Varunidae. The record is from RefSeq and is a predicted model, not a curated record. The transcript is spliced from 3 exons.
CUGGCUCCGUGCACAAGUAGCCACACCUGAACAUCACCACGAUUGCUCACGAUGGUGGGUGGCGGCACACUAACGCUGUUCUUCCUGACAAGCCGAUCCCUGUUCUCUGCCGCUGUGCCACGUCAUGCCUCAGACGUCACCGAGCUAGAGACGCUCCGGGCGGUGCAAGCGGUUGUGUCGUCAUCCAUAUCUCCCUACGGGUGUCCAGUGGCGCUCUUAGUGAACAGCCUCGGACAGAUAUCGCAUGGCAUCAUCGAGG